AAAAACGUUAGGACGCGGAGUAGUAAGCGUAGGAUCCUGUCAGAGAGGUGCCGGAUGGUGCGAGGCACUCAGGAAGCCGAAUGCCGAACUGACCGCUGAACGGCGGCCCGAACCAACAGUAGGAGCCGACGGGGUUGCGCCCGUUAUCAGCGCAGGGGUAUCAAGUUGUGCCGUGUGGCCCAGCCCGUACCCGCUAAGGUGCAUUUCGUUUUUGAAAUGAAGAAGAGUGGUACCGCGGAAGCUUUGCUCUUUCGUCUCUUCU
Molecule: non-coding RNA, 262 nt
Filed under: Clostridium sp.
Lineage: Bacteria; Bacillati; Bacillota; Clostridia; Eubacteriales; Clostridiaceae
Description: T-box sequence
Rfam family: T-box leader
About the family: Uncharged tRNA acts as the effector for transcription antitermination of genes in the T-box leader family. T-boxes are found upstream of many aminoacyl-tRNA synthetase genes and some amino acid biosynthetic genes usually in Gram-positive bacteria. The anticodon of a specific tRNA base pairs to a specifier sequence within the T-box motif, and the NCCA acceptor tail of the tRNA base pairs to a conserved bulge in the T-box antiterminator hairpin.
Source: RNAcentral